AGCAAGAACUAAUUCAUUGUUUGUCUAAUUUAAGAUGGUGUGCCAUACCCUCCUCGUAUAUACCAUGGUUGACGAAGCUAGCCGCUUGCGCCUAUGGUUUAAUAUUUCUGGCUCUCGCCUUUAUGGCUGAAUAUUUGGGAGGAGUGCUUCAAGCCGCUUUGACGAUAUUCGGUGCAGUCGGAGGCCCACUAUUCGGGGUGUUCACACUUGGAAUGUUUACGACUUUCGCCAAUGAAAGGGGUACUUCCAUUGCUCUUUUGAGUGGAAUGGCGUUGACUUUGUGGAUCAGCUUUUGGUGGGCCUCGUCCACCCCCUGUCAAGUUACCUCUGAGCUUGGAAGCUUGUCCAUUUAAUGUCACUGCCCCAGUGCCGGCAGCAUUAAAAACUGUUGACUACUUCUAUCCAUACAGAAUAUCGUACUUGUGGACUAGCCCGAUCGGCUUCGUCUGGGUGCUAGCUGUGGGGUCCAUAAUAUCGUUGUUAUGGCGGCAGCAACACCCGUGGGAGCGAGCUAUGAAAUCGCAUCCCGACCCUGCUCUCUUCACUCCGCCUUUAGCCAAAAGGCUGAGAGCUAAGUAUAGAGAUAAAGCAGACGUGCAGUGUGAGCUAUUGAAGAAAAACGACGAGGAAGAACUUCAUUAAAGGUGCUACUUAAUUUUAUGUAUGUGUUCAUAUGUAACAGUUUUAUAAAACUAUUAUUUAUAAGUAGAA
Molecule: long non-coding RNA, 711 nt
Organism: Manduca sexta (tobacco hornworm)
Lineage: Eukaryota; Metazoa; Arthropoda; Insecta; Lepidoptera; Sphingidae
Exons: 4
Source: RefSeq, a predicted model, not a curated record